Molecule: long non-coding RNA, 309 nt
Filed under: Elaeis guineensis (African oil palm)
Lineage: Eukaryota; Viridiplantae; Streptophyta; Magnoliopsida; Arecales; Arecaceae
Description: long non-coding RNA (EGUI_LNC029173)
Source: RNAcentral
UACGUUCCGUAUUGAAUGGUGUAGAGCGGUACAGUAAACCAAAGUAGAUUUUAUGGAUAAAAAUCCUAUUUUCAUUCGUGAUCAAUGUUUGGCCGAUUGAACCAUGGGAUAAUAAAAUAAUGGGAAAUAACCAAUCCUAUAAGAAAAAGAAUCUUUGAAAGAUAAUUUUUUCAUGUGAUGAGUAGGCUCUAUCAUCGCAGCCAUCAUUGCACUCUACCCUAAUCGUCACCUUCUACCUCCAAUCGCCAUGGAGAUAGAGUAGCGUGAGGCAUUGAAGUAGCAGAAAGUGAUGUGCAUCUCACCAUCGCC